Molecule: ribosomal RNA, 301 nt
Filed under: uncultured bacterium
Lineage: Bacteria
Description: partial 16S ribosomal RNA
Rfam family: Bacterial small subunit ribosomal RNA
Source: RNAcentral
CAGCCGCCACGGUAAUACGUAGGUGGCAAGCGUUGUCCGGAAUUAUUGGGCGUAAAGGGCUCGCAGGCGGUUUCUUAAGUCUGAUGUGAAAGCCCCCGGCUCAACCGGGGAGGGUCAUUGGAAACUGGGAAACUUGAGUGCAGAAGAGGAGAGUGGAAUUCCACGUGUAGCGGUGAAAUGCGUAGAGAUGUGGAGGAACACCAGUGGCGAAGGCGACUCUCUGGUCUGUAACUGACGCUGAGGAGCGAAAGAGUGGGGAGCGAACAGGAUUAGAUACCCCGGUAGUCCCUGUCUCUUAUAC